Molecule: ribosomal RNA, 646 nt
Filed under: uncultured bacterium
Lineage: Bacteria
Description: bacterial SSU rRNA
Rfam family: Bacterial small subunit ribosomal RNA
Source: RNAcentral
UGGGGAGUACGGCCGCAAGGUUAAAACUCAAAUGAAUUGACGGGGGCCCGCACAAGCGGUGGAGCAUGUGGUUUAAUUCGAUGCAACGCGAAGAACCUUACCUACUCUUGACAUCCAGCGAAUCCUUUAGAGAUAGAGGAGUGCCUUCGGGAACGCUGAGACAGGUGCUGCAUGGCUGUCGUCAGCUCGUGUUGUGAAAUGUUGGGUUAAGUCCCGCAACGAGCGCAACCCUUAUCCUUUGUUGCCAGCGCGUAAUGGUGGGAACUCAAAGGAGACUGCCGGUGAUAAACCGGAGGAAGGUGGGGAUGACGUCAAGUCAUCAUGGCCCUUACGAGUAGGGCUACACACGUGCUACAAUGGCAGAUACAAAGAGAAGCGACCUCGCGAGAGCAAGCGGAACUCAUAAAGUCUGUCGUAGUCCGGAUUGGAGUCUGCAACUCGACUCCAUGAGGUCGGAAUCGCUAGUAAUCGUAGAUCAGAAUGCUACGGUGAAUACGUUCCCGGGCCUUGUGCACACCGCCCGUCACACCAUGGGAGUGGGUUGCAAAAGAAGUAGGUAGCUUAACCUUCGGGAGGGCGCUUACCACUUUGUGAUUCAUGACUGGGGUGAAGUCGUAACAAGGUAACCAAGGGCGAAUUCGCGGCC